This 793-nucleotide small RNA is filed under the name Pan troglodytes (chimpanzee). RNAcentral's name for it is "processed transcript". Lineage: Eukaryota; Metazoa; Chordata; Mammalia; Primates; Hominidae. The record is from RNAcentral.
GGAGGAUGUGUUGGAGGACAACUACAUAAAGAGACAAAAAAAAAAAAAAAAAAAAAAAGAGCAAAGAUCUGUGCUGUGUCAUGUAUGACAGCCAUCACUCAUGGCUCUCCACUAGGAGGGAACGACAGCCAGGGCCAGGUUCUUGAUGGCCAGUCUCAGCAUCUCUUCCAACAGAACCAGACUUCAUCACCUGAUUCUUCCAAUGAGAAUUCCGUAGCAACUCCUCCUCCAGAGGAACAAGGGCAAGGUGAUGCCCCACCACAGCAUGAAGAUGAAGAUCCUGCAUUUCCACAUACUGAGCUGGCAAAGCUGGAUGACAUGAUCAACAGGUGCAUUUGUUUGGAUGUUUUAUUAAUGGAUGCAGUAAACUAGAAAAGCAAAACUACUUCCAGCAUUGCAACUAGUAGUAAAUGAGAAAAAGAAAAGAGUAGAUUGUAGUGUCUCAAGUCUUACUAUUUUAAUAGCCUGAACAUUUUAGUCCUAGCUGAACACUUUGCAGCUCAUUGUACUUAAUGCAGGCAUUUCUUAUGGAUUUUAAAUAUUGGAAGGUAAUGACAAUAUGAAUACAGUUUCAGAUUAAUGAUGCUUUAUGAACCCUUCCUGUGUUUCUAGCGUAGACAAAUAGGUAGGUAUUUUGUUUUGAAUAUUUACAAACAUUUCUCUUUGAUAAGAACUUUAUACCAGAGUUCUGGAGAACUUUUCUCACUUGUGGAAUGUCCAUUUGCUACAGCAGAGACCUUAUUGCAGAAGGUUGUAUUGCUUCUUUCUCUGUUUUGUUUAGCGGUUGCUGAUU